UAGAGCUUGAAUAGCUCUGAAUAAGCUGGUAAAAUAAGAUUCUGGAUCUGGAAAGCUGAGUGUGACCCUGAUCUGCA
This is a non-coding RNA of Choloepus hoffmanni (Hoffmann's two-fingered sloth), 77 nucleotides long. NCBI's taxonomy places the organism in Eukaryota, Metazoa, Chordata, Mammalia, Pilosa, Megalonychidae. The record is from Rfam.